GACGAACGCUGGCGGCGUGCUUAACACAUGCAAGUCGAACGGUAAGGCCCUUCGGGGUACACGAGUGGCGAACGGGUGAGUAACACGUGGGUGAUCUGCCCUGCACUUCGGGAUAAGCCUGGGAAACUGGGUCUAAUACCGGAUAGGACUCCUGCCUGCAUGGGUGGGGGUGGAAAGCUUUUGCGGUGUGGGAUGGGCCCGCGGCCUAUCAGCUUGUUGGUGGGGUGAUGGCCUACCAAGGCGACGACGGGUAGCCGGCCUGAGAGGGUGACCGGCCACACUGGGACUGAGAUACGGCCCAGACGCCUACGGGAGGCAGCAGUGGGGAAUAUUGCACAAUGGGCGCAAGCCUGAUGCAGCGACGCCGCGUGAGGGAUGACGGCCUUCGGGUUGUAAACCUCUUUCAGCACAGACGAAGCGCAAGUGACGGUAUGUGCAGAAGAAGGACCGGCCAACUACUUGCCAGCAGCCGCCGUAA
RNAcentral lists this ribosomal RNA (478 nucleotides) under uncultured bacterium. RNAcentral's name for it is "partial 16S ribosomal RNA". It matches the Rfam family "Bacterial small subunit ribosomal RNA", at positions 28 to 523 of the family's 1533-position model. The record is from RNAcentral.